CGUGUGCCAUACCUUUAACUUAAUACAGAAGAGACAAGGAUCUGUAACGUUGGAAAUCCAAAGAGCCUCAGAACACAAGAAAAGCAAAUGAACGAGGACAACAACAUUAGUGUUGUACUAAAACACAAGAAAAUGAAGAAAGCUGUCAACAUUCACACACUUCCGGAGUGCGAGAGUAUGAAACUUGAUUCAUUGCCUCAGAUUCAAGAUCCAAUAUUUAAGGAUUUAGAAGAGUUGUUCGAGAAGGUCAAGGCAAAAGUUGAGGCUCUUAAAGCUGCUGGAACUAGUAAUGCUGGUACUACCCAGUUCCAUGACAUGCCCGACUCUACACCUGACGAGACACAUCCACUCGAAAAGACAACUGAAAACAAAGAGUUGGACUGCCUUUGCGGUGAACCGUCUCAAAAAUCAGAAGAGACUGCUGACACUUCCCCACUCCGUGUUCGUAACGGAGAAGAUAUCAAGGAGCUCUCCUCUUGCAAAGCAAUUCUCAAAGAGUAUGCAGACAAGAUCAAUGUUGAGAAUCCUAAUUAUAGAACGGAGAAAGCAAAUGGUUCAAAUUCAACAUUUAUUUCAUCCUUAUCUUUUAAUGGCAAGCUAUAUGUUGGAGACGAAGGAAGGAACAAGAAAGAGUCUCAGCAUUUGGCAGCACGUGCUGUUAUUCUGUCUAUUUUAGAUUCUGAUGCACCCGAAGUUAUUUCUAAGAUCAUCAAGUCAAAAGAACAGAUGCUUUGCCCUUCGAGGGGUAAAGUUCAGAAUCCAUGCAACGCUUAUAAUAUGGGUAUGCCUGCGAGGAUACAGACAGGAUGUGAUGUUGGCACCAGUUCAAGUAAAGGGAAUGAGCUAGAAGUUGUGCUGAGUGACUGCAUGCUCAAGACAGCUACUCGAGAUCCCAGCACUAAGAGUUCUUCUGGUGUUUCAGCAAAACCUGUUUUCCUUGUUGAGGAGCUCUCCUCUUGCAAAGCAAUUCUUAAAGAGUAUGCAGAUAAGAUAAAUGCAGAGAACCCUAGUUAUAAAACAGAGAAAGCAGAUGGUUCAGAUUUAGCAUUUGUUUCAUCUUUGACAUUUAAUGGCAAACAAUAUGUUGGGGACAAAGGCAGGAACAAGAAACAGUCUCAGCACUUGGCAGCGCGUGCUGUUAUCCUGUCUAUUUUAGAUUCUGAUGCACACAAUGUUAUUUCUAAGAUUAUCAAGUCAAAAGAAAAGAUGCUUUGCCCUGCAAAGGGUAAAGUUCAGAAUUCAUGCAACACUCAGAAUGUGGGUAUGCCUGCGGGGAUACAUACAGGAUAUAAUAUACGCACCAGUUCAAGUAAAGGGAAUGAGCUCGAAGUUGUGCCGAAUGAUAACAUGCUUAAGGGAGCUUCUCAGGAGCCUUGCACUGGGAAUUCGUCUAGUGUUACAGCAAAAUCCGUCUCCCUUGUUGAGGCUAGUGCUACUACAACUUUAAUUGUGCCUUCAAAUGUGGAACCACUGAUUGUUGGCUCAACAUCUUCGAAAAAGAGAAAGCGCAAGGCUAAGAAAGCUAAGCAUGAAGUCGGAAUUAAUGCUCACAGGGUACAGGUUGCUGCAGUGCCAUCAAGUCAAACUACGACAUCUGCAGUGCCAGGUUCUGUCAAUGCUGUAUUAUCUGGAAGUUGAUUUUUAAGUGUGUAGUGAAAUCUGAAGCUCUGGAUCCUAUUGUUCUCCUUUCUUAUGUCGUUUACCUUAAUCUCCUUCAGUUUUGUAAUCAUGGACGUGGCUGAACUUGAAAUAUUGUACGCAAUCAGUGUUUAGUAGGAGAUACAAUUUGGAGCUGACUGUCAACAUCAAAUUAAGGUAGCAAAGCGCAAAGGCAACAUAUACCUCUGGCAACAAAGGAUCUAAACAACAGCCUGAGAAUUCUUUAAGAGUGCCUCUUCGUAAAUAAGCACCGCUCGACUCAUGUAUUAUUAGCUUUUAUGCAAUUAAAAAGUCUGUCUCGACUUGAUUCAUUCUAUAAAAGAACAAGUUCGGCUCAGAUUUGUUUGUUAACGGUCCUAAAAAUCAUUAUGACCGGAAGCUUAAGUGAGAUCUUUAGUAACUUGAUUCAUCUUUGUUUUACGAUUUUAAAGUAUCUCAUCUCUUUUGAUUAUAAUUUGGUUUGGCUGUUGAGAGGUAUCACAAUUUAUAUUGUGAUCUGAUCUCAAAUAUCUGAUUAUUCUGAUUAUUCAGCCAAGACCAGCCGUAUCUUCAAGCUAGAGAGGCAGCUAUCGCGGUCUUUGUAAGGAGGAACCUCCAGAGCUGCCUUACAAAGACCACGUUAAAAAGUCCUUACAAUGGCCUUCAACACUAUUUUCAACAUCUAUACUGCCAUGUCUUUUAAAAUGGGAUAUGAGGCUUGUGUUUCAAUGAUCAGAGAGGGAAAGGCUUUUGACAGUUCCAAACAUGGCUGGGAUGUGGACCUUGUAGUCGAAAUGGAGAAGAUGGCGAAUGCUGGGCCGGAGUCGCUUCAAGGGGGAGAGGGAUCCGAGGUCCAAUAUACAGAGCCAAAAGGGCCAGAAGAUGAUGAAAUGCCGCUUCAUGAGCCUCAAAGAAUGAAGCUAAGUUUCACUCACAUAAGAGUCCGUGGAAUGCAAUGCAGUUGGUUCUUAAAUUUGAAAUAAUCACUAAUCUGUUGCUUGGCUGUGGUUCUGACUUGCCUAAAUGUAAAAAUUAUAAUUGCAAUAGCCGAUCGCAUUAUAUACAACAAUCCGAGUUCUUCAACGAUGAAUAUGCUGUUUCAGUUGCAUCAAAUUGUUUUGCCUCAGACUUGAGACUUGAGACUGCAUUUAAGCAAGAAGCGCAGUGGCUUAAUGCAGUCUGCGUUAACUUGGAAGCUACUUCGGGUUCUUUGUCUAUUAUCACACUUGUUAAAACUUGUUCUGUAUCCGUCGAUGAAGCAUGUUUCUUGUUAUGUAAGUUCACAUGAUGUACUAAAAUCCUAACGGAGCACACGGAGAUUGUGGUUGCACUGUCCCUGUAACUGUGCAGGGAAAGAGGGUGGAACACAGAAGUGUGUGAUAUACAUUUCCAAUCUGAUCAUGUUUUCUUAAAAAGAAAGCGAAAAAAAGUCCAUAAUUCUUUU
Molecule: RNA transcript, 3082 nt
Organism: Daucus carota subsp. sativus
Lineage: Eukaryota; Viridiplantae; Streptophyta; Magnoliopsida; Apiales; Apiaceae
Exons: 9
Source: RefSeq, a predicted model, not a curated record